RNAcentral lists this transfer RNA (85 nucleotides) under Actinomycetota bacterium. RNAcentral's name for it is "tRNA-Ile". The record is from RNAcentral. Lineage: Bacteria; Bacillati; Actinomycetota.
GCGGAGCUGGUCCUCCGGCCGACCGGCGGGACGCUCGUCGGCUCCCUGAUAAGGAAGAGGUCCCAGGUUCGAGUCCUGGAUCGCC